AUGCUGCAUCAACCUAAACGAACUAGAAAACUGCGGCGCCCUUCUGUUGCCCAUCAAUAUCGUCAGGUAUUCACCUUUCCUGAUUUUCAAUCUGCAUUAGGGUUUCUUAGUUCGUCGGCGUUCAUCAGUGUUCAUCGUAUUUCAAUUCAAAGGCGGAGAGAUGUGACCUUCCCAGCCGCCACCCUGCCGAUCGCGGCGGCGGAUGGCAAGUUCAUGCCGGUCAUCGACCGGAUGGCCGACUACUCCUUCGUCUACCCGUUCGGAUGGCAGGAGGUGUUUGUGCAAGGGCAGGACAAGGUGUACAAGGACGUGAUCGAGCCGUUGGAGAGCGUGAGCAUCAACAUGAUCGCCACCACCAAGGAAGACAUUCGAGACCUCGGCCCGCCCGACCAGGUCCCCGAGGCUUUGGUACGGAAAGUCCUAUCUCAGCCCACGCAGAAGACCAAGUUGAUCGAGGCAAAAGAGGUACAUAUAGAUGGAAGAGCUUACUACACUUUCGAGUUCACUGCUCAGGAUCCAAAUUUCACAAGACACGUGCUUGGCACAAUCACCAUAGCAAAUGGCAAAUUUUACACGCCGGCGACGGGUGCAAACGAGAGGAGAUGGGACAAGAUGAAGGACAGGCUUCAUACAAUCGUCGACUCCUUCAAAAUCGAAACAAAAGUGUCAGGGUGUCUGAGGCUUUGUGUUGAUUUUCUUUGUUGUUGGUUUGUUCAUUUUCAGAGCUGCAGCUGGCGCGAGGUUGAGCACUAA
RNAcentral lists this ribosomal RNA (753 nucleotides) under Triticum aestivum (bread wheat). RNAcentral's name for it is "partial small subunit ribosomal RNA". Lineage: Eukaryota; Viridiplantae; Streptophyta; Magnoliopsida; Poales; Poaceae. The record is from RNAcentral.